UACGGAAGGCAGCAGUGGGGAAUAUUGCACAAUGGGCGAAAGCCUGAUGCAGCUAUGCCGCGUGUAUGAAGAAGGCCUUAGGGUUGUAAAGUACUUUCAUCGGGGAGGAAAAAACAAAACUAAUAAUUUUAUUUCUUGACGUUACCCGAAAAAGAAGCACCGGCUAACUCCGUGCCAGCAGCCGCGGUAAUACGGAGGGUGCUAGCGUUAAUCAGAAUUACUGGGCGUAAAGAGCACGUAGGUGGUUUUUUUAAGUCAGAUGUGAAAUCCCUGGGCUUAACCUAGGAACUGCAUUUUGAAACUGAAAUACUAGAGUAUCGUAGAGGGAGGUAGAAUUCUAGGUGUAGCGGUUGAAAUGCGUAGAUAUCUGGAGGAAUACCUGUGGCGAAAGCGGCCUCCUAAACGAAUACUGACACUGAGGUGCGAAAGCGUGGGGAGCAAACAGGGAUUAGAUA
This 455-nucleotide ribosomal RNA is filed under the name uncultured bacterium. RNAcentral's name for it is "bacterial SSU rRNA". It matches the Rfam family "Bacterial small subunit ribosomal RNA", at positions 340 to 784 of the family's 1533-position model. The record is from RNAcentral.